Molecule: unclassified non-coding RNA, 392 nt
Filed under: uncultured Ceratobasidium
Lineage: Eukaryota; Fungi; Basidiomycota; Agaricomycetes; Cantharellales; Ceratobasidiaceae
Description: sequence contains ITS1
Rfam family: 5.8S ribosomal RNA (bases 1-105)
Source: RNAcentral
GAAAUGCGAUAAGUAAUGUGAAUUGCAGAAUUCAGUGAAUCAUCGAAUCUUUGAACGCACCUUGCGCUCCUUGGUAUUCCUCGGAGCAUGCCUGUUUGAGUAUCAUGAAACUCUCAAAGAAAAUCUUUUGUUAAUUCAAUUGGUUUGCUUUGGACUUGGAGGUUUUUUUUUUUUUUUUGCAGAUUAAUUUCUGCUCCUCUUAAAUAUAUUAGCUGGAUCUCAGUAUAUGCUCGGUUCCACUCGGCGUGAUAAGUAAUCACUCGCUGAGGACACUUUUGUAAAAAAGGUGGCCGGGAAAUACAGAUGGAACCGCUUCGAACAGUCCAUUCACUUGGACAAUAUAAGUUUUAAGAUCUGAUCUCAAAUCAGGUAGGACUACCCGCUGAACUUAA